AUGAGUUAUGAGAAUUCUUGUGUAUAGGAGAAGAAAGUUCAAAAGCUGCAGAAAAGAGAAGCUGAAACAGAGUUCAAGCUUUUGACAUCAAGGUUUGAUAUCUCAUGUUGUUUACUAGUUUCUUUGCAUGUAAAUUGUGUGGUGUGUUGCUAGUGAGAUGAUAUGUUGCUUGUUGUUGAGUGAGAAGAUUGGAUAUGUUAUGAAAACAGGGGAUGGAAUGAAUUUAUGAAACAGAGUUUGCUGGAAAUUUUACCAGCAACUUCAUCUUGAUUUUGACCCCAGAAAAUGAUGGAAUUAGGAAGUGUUAUAGAAGAGUUAUUUGUUCCUCUAUGUGUUAUCUUUACGUGGG
RNAcentral lists this long non-coding RNA (349 nucleotides) under Jatropha curcas. RNAcentral describes it as "long non-coding RNA (JCUR_LNC002337)". The record is from RNAcentral. Lineage: Eukaryota; Viridiplantae; Streptophyta; Magnoliopsida; Malpighiales; Euphorbiaceae.